GAUGAACGCUGGCGGCGUGCUUAACACAUGCAAGUCGAACGAGAAGUGAAGACGGAAACCUUCGGGCGGAAGGCUUUAUUUCGAGUGGCGGACGGGUGAGUAACGCGUGGGUAACCUGCCUCAUACAGGGGGAUAACAGUUGGAAACGACUGUUAAUACCGCAUAAGACCACAGCACCGCAUGGUGCGGGGGUAAAAACUCCGGUGGUAUGAGAUGGACCCGCGUUCGAUUAGCCAGUUGGCGGGGUAACGGCCCACCAAAGCGACGAUCGAUAGCCGAUCUGAGAGGAUGACCGGCCACAUUGGGACUGAGACACGGCCCAAACUCCGACGGGAGGCAGCAGUGGGGAAUAUUGCACAAUGGGGGAAACCCUGAUGCAGCGACGCCGCGUGAGUGAAGAAGUAUUUCGGUAUGUAAAGCUCUAUCAGCAGGGAAGAAAAUGACGGUACCUGAGUAAGAAGCCCCGGCUAACUACGUG
RNAcentral lists this ribosomal RNA (478 nucleotides) under uncultured bacterium. Its description in RNAcentral is "partial 16S ribosomal RNA". It matches the Rfam family "Bacterial small subunit ribosomal RNA", at positions 28 to 507 of the family's 1533-position model. The record is from RNAcentral.